UCCAUGCUCCUUAGAUCCACUCUCGAGUUAACUGGCCCUAUGCACAGAUUCAGGUGGACGGCCUACUUACCAGCAACUUUGCCGGUUGCAUGUCGAAAGUGCUUGAGUCAUAAACAUGGCAGAAAUGUACCUCAGUCAAUGAACUCUGUUUUAAUCAUUGUUGGUGAUUUAGCUCUUUCAUGGACUUGGACAAU
Small nucleolar RNA from Dreissena polymorpha, 194 nucleotides. RefSeq annotates it as small nucleolar RNA SNORA53. The record is from RefSeq and is a predicted model, not a curated record. The transcript has a single exon. Lineage: Eukaryota; Metazoa; Mollusca; Bivalvia; Myida; Dreissenidae.